CACAACCAUUUAAAUUAACAACAAAUAAGCCACAUUUUCUUCUGUAAAAAGAAGGAGUUCAGAAUUUCUCCAAGAACACAUAUAAAGCACCGGAUCCCAUGAAAAGGCAGUGUUUGCUCAACUUCUUCAGUCUAGAGGUGGCUAUUUUAACAUUUCCCUGUGGAAAAGAAGGACUGAAUCUAACUACAUAAAUUCUUUAGAACAAUCUGGAAUGUCUGUUCAAAUUACUGCACCAGAACAUUUCUGGAAGAUUCUCACCCAAAAAGAAAAAAAAAAAAAAAGAAAAAAAAAAGCUGAAGAAAACAUGGUCUUCACUCCAGUCCUCUGCCUUGCCAAUCCUACAGCCUGUUCAUUCCCAUCUCAAUGACAUUUUCCAUUUCCUGGAAGUGAUGUCGCUUCUUUCUUGGACUCCUAGAUGGAAGACCCAAAGGCAGUCCUAACUUCUUCAGAAAGCCUUCCUGGAUUUGCUGCUCUCCUCCUUUGGCAAAAUUCCAUUGGGCAAACAGGUGAGCUGACACCACCCGGAGCUGACCACAUGUGGGACCCACCAUGGGAGUAGAAGGCCUGAAGGGAGGAGCGAUGGAUGGAUGUCUAAUACCAGACUCCAGAGACUCCCUAGGCUUAUGAUGAAUGAA
Molecule: long non-coding RNA, 635 nt
Organism: Mustela lutreola (European mink)
Lineage: Eukaryota; Metazoa; Chordata; Mammalia; Carnivora; Mustelidae
Exons: 6
Source: RefSeq, a predicted model, not a curated record